CCAGACUCCUACGGGAGGCAGCAGUGGGGAAUAUUGCACAAUGGGCGGAAGCCUGAUGCAGCAACGCCGCGUGCGGGAUGACGGCCUUCGGGUUGUAAACCGCUUUCGCCUGUGACGAAGCGUGAGUGACGGUAAUGGGUAAAGAAGCACCGGCUAACUACGUGCCAGCAGCCGCGGUGAUACGUAGGGUGCGAGCGUUGUCCGGAUUUAUUGGGCGUAAAGGGCUCGUAGGUGGUUGAUCGCGUCGGAAGUGUAAUCUUGGGGCUUAACCCUGAGCGUGCUUUCGAUACGGGUUGACUUGAGGAAGGUAGGGGAGAAUGGAAUUCCUGGUGGAGCGGUGGAAUGCGCAGAUAUCAGGAGGAACACCAGUGGCGAAGGCGGUUCUCUGGGCCUUUCCUGACGCUGAGGAGCGAAAGCGUGGGGAGCGAACAGGCUUAGAUACCCUGGUAGUCCACGCUGUAAACGGUGGGUACUAGGUGUGGGGUCCAUUCCACGGGUUCCGUGCCGUAGCUAACGCUUUAAGUACCCCGCCUGGGGAGUACGGCCGCAAGGCUAAAACUCACAGGAAUUGACGGGGGCCCGCACAAGAGGG
Molecule: ribosomal RNA, 592 nt
Filed under: uncultured bacterium
Lineage: Bacteria
Description: bacterial SSU rRNA
Rfam family: Bacterial small subunit ribosomal RNA
Source: RNAcentral